CUUGCAGGAGGGAGCUAUCCUACUUUGGACUGAAGGUUGUUUUAAUUGAACCUGGUGUCUUCAAGACUGUUGUGAGCAGUUCUAAUAUGCUCUCCAAAACCUCCAAGGAUGCGUGGGAGAGGGCCAGACCAGAGAUCAAGCAGAUCUAUGGCGAGAAGUUUCCAGCAUCCUGUGAGUGAGCUGUGGGCAGUGUGGAGAGAAGGAAACUCUCGUCAGAAAUCCCACCUCCAUCACUAAUGGGUCCCUCAGAGGUCUAUCCUCCUGACAGGGCUUCAGAGAAGUUCAGCCUCUUGCAGAAAGUGGGGACCUGUAGCCCCAUUUCCAUGAUGGGUGCUCUGUAGACAAUCGCUCACAUGAAGCAAGUGUCCAGGCUUAUGGAAAUUGGGGCCGGUAUGUACUUGAACCCCUCAGUAUUUGAAGAGUGAAGGAAAGCAAGAGAGAGAAGAGGCAUCCGUGCCAGCUGGCAUUUCAUGUGAGACAUUAGAGACAGCUGGCUCCAGGUGCUCAGAUUUCUAGUAUUGGCGGACACCUGCCAUUGUGCAGUCCAGAUUUCCCAGGAAAACAGGCAGAGGUGUGUUAGUGUGGAACAAUUCCGCAUGGGGUUAGCAUGGGACCGUCUUCUGGAUUUUGCAUGGAUAAUAUCGGCCAAUGCUGGGUGCCAUGAGAUUUUACAAACUUUACAUUCUGAAGUUAAACCGAAAGCAAAAUCAAUUGCAGGUGGAGAUAUUCAUGGGUGUUUUCUCAUUGUGUCCAGACAUGAAAUCAAUAGAACCAAUCGAAGGAAGAUUAACACAGGAUCUGUCUUUGGUGAUGGACUGCAUGGAGCAUGCGCUGACAGCCUGCCACCCCCGUACCUGCUACUCAGCUGGCUGGGAUGCGAAAGCUCCUCUACCUCCCCAUGAGCUACGUUCCCACCUUCCUGGUGGACGCCAUCAUCACAUGGGGCCCCUCAAGGCCACCCAAAGCCCUGUGAGCCAAGACUCUGUGCAUGGUUGCAGGACAUUGACUGCUGUGGGAGGUAGAGGUACAUCAGUUACACAAGUGUUUCGCUCGGUUCUUCUUUUUCUGUUUAUUAGCGGUGUUCUUCGACGA
This 1092-nucleotide long non-coding RNA is filed under the name Microcebus murinus (gray mouse lemur). RNAcentral describes it as "lncRNA (ENSMICG00000048486.1)". The record is from RNAcentral. Lineage: Eukaryota; Metazoa; Chordata; Mammalia; Primates; Cheirogaleidae.